UGUCGUGAAUAUUUUCGUUAUCUUUCAGGUUUAUAUCUGGGGUACUCAUGUCUAUUCAACUAUUGAUUGAUUUGUAAAGCAGGAUGUAUUUAGAAGUUUGUGUUUUGGCUGGAAAAUUUACUUACAACCUAGUGAGAGGAGAAACAUGCAGUACAGACAAUGGUCCGGUAGAGUGUUCAACCGCCGAAUACUGUUGUUCUCCAGAUGAUGUCAAUGUUUGUUGCACAUAUUUCUCCACUUGGAUAGUGGUAUUGAUGGUGCUAGGCGUGGUGUUCUUCGUGUUAAUCACUGCGAGUAUCGUGUGUGAGGCAUCCAAACUCCACAACAAACCUUUAGUUACAGUGCAUCCAUCCGGUGUCACCUAGAUCUAGCUAUACAUCAGUCUGCCUGUGUAUGCAUGUUAAUUGGAUAUUGAGAUUGUUUAAUAAACUUAAAACAUGUA
Long non-coding RNA from Mya arenaria, 442 nucleotides. RefSeq lists it as uncharacterized. The record is from RefSeq and is a predicted model, not a curated record. The transcript has 3 exons. Lineage: Eukaryota; Metazoa; Mollusca; Bivalvia; Myida; Myidae.